This is a long non-coding RNA of Camelus dromedarius (Arabian camel), 284 nucleotides long. RefSeq lists it as uncharacterized. The record is from RefSeq and is a predicted model, not a curated record. NCBI's taxonomy places the organism in Eukaryota, Metazoa, Chordata, Mammalia, Artiodactyla, Camelidae. The transcript is spliced from 4 exons.
CUCGACACUCUGAUUCUCCUUUUCCAUCCUGCGUCUGAUGUUUAUGAACUUCUGUGGAAGCUUAUUCUUCUUGCUGCCUCCUGGGGAGUUUCUAUUUUUCUCUUGUUCGUCUGGAGGACCGUCCUUGCUGUAAAGCCUCCAGUGUGUCAAGUUACUUUAAAGCAGAUGACUGAGCAGAGCAAGAAUUUGGAGAAUGAAAACAGAGAACUUGCAGAAAAUAUAUCUGCUUGGGUGCAGAAGACCAACAACGCAAAGAAAUGCUUAGAGGAGGCCAUCAGGCAAAA